AUGGCGACCGGCGCAUGGGUGAGUAACACGUAUCCAACCUGCCGAUAACUCGGGGAUAGCCUUUCGAAAGAAAGAUUAAUACCCGAUGGCAUAAUUAGACCGCAUGGUCUUAUUAUUAAAGAAUUUCGGUUAUCGAUGGGGAUGCGUUCCAUUAGGCAGUUGGUGAGGUAACGGCUCACCAAACCUUCGAUGGAUAGGGGUUCUGAGAGGAAGGUCCCCCACAUUGGAACUGAGACGCGGUCCAA
This 245-nucleotide ribosomal RNA is filed under the name uncultured bacterium. Its description in RNAcentral is "partial 16S ribosomal RNA". It matches the Rfam family "Bacterial small subunit ribosomal RNA", at positions 88 to 334 of the family's 1533-position model. The record is from RNAcentral.